This 713-nucleotide ribosomal RNA is filed under the name Salmonella enterica subsp. enterica serovar Thompson. RNAcentral's name for it is "partial 23S ribosomal RNA". It matches the Rfam family "Bacterial large subunit ribosomal RNA", at positions 2220 to 2925 of the family's 2925-position model. RNAcentral also lists the same sequence under 1 other name. The record is from RNAcentral. Lineage: Bacteria; Pseudomonadati; Pseudomonadota; Gammaproteobacteria; Enterobacterales; Enterobacteriaceae.
UUCUAACGUGGACCCGUAAUCCGGGUUGCGGACAGUGUCUGGUGGGUAGUUUGACUGGGGCGGUCUCCUCCUAAAGAGUAACGGAGGAGCACGAAGGUUGGCUAAUCCUGGUCGGACAUCAGGAGGUUAGUGCAAUGGCAUAAGCCAGCUUGACUGCGAGCGUGACGGCGCGAGCAGGUGCGAAAGCAGGUCAUAGUGAUCCGGUGGUUCUGAAUGGAAGGGCCAUCGCUCAACGGAUAAAAGGUACUCCGGGGAUAACAGGCUGAUACCGCCCAAGAGUUCAUAUCGACGGCGGUGUUUGGCACCUCGAUGUCGGCUCAUCACAUCCUGGGGCUGAAGUAGGUCCCAAGGGUAUGGCUGUUCGCCAUUUAAAGUGGUACGCGAGCUGGGUUUAGAACGUCGUGAGACAGUUCGGUCCCUAUCUGCCGUGGGCGCUGGAGAACUGAGGGGGGCUGCUCCUAGUACGAGAGGACCGGAGUGGACGCAUCACUGGUGUUCGGGUUGUCAUGCCAAUGGCACUGCCCGGUAGCUAAAUGCGGAAGAGAUAAGUGCUGAAAGCAUCUAAGCACGAAACUUGCCCCGAGAUGAGUUCUCCCUGAGACUUAGAGUCUCCUGAAGGAACGUUGAAGACGACGACGUUGAUAGGCCGGGUGUGUAAGCGCAGCGAUGCGUUGAGCUAACCGGUACUAAUGAACCGUGAGGCUUAACCUUAC